GUUUAAUUCGACGAUACGCGAGGAACCUUACCUAGGCUAGAAUGUGAGUGAAUGUAUCAGAAAUGGUACAGUCCGCAAGGACACGAAACAAGGUGCUGCAUGGCUGUCGUCAGCUCGUGCCGUGAGAUGUUGGAUUAAGUCCCGCAACGAGCGCAACCCCUGUUGUUAGUUGCCAUCAGGUAAUGCUGGGAACUCUAACAAGACUGCCUACGCAAGUAGAGAGGAAGGAGGGGACGACGUCAAGUCAUCAUGGCCCUUACGCCUAGGGCAACACACGUGCUACAAUGGACGGUACAGCAGGUCGCUAUGUGGUAACACAGUGCCAAUCUACAAAACCGUUCUCAGCUCGGAUUGGGGUCUGCAACUCGACCCUAUGAAGCUGGAAUCGCUAGUAAUCGGGUAUCAGCUAUGAUCCGGUGAAUACGUUCCCGGACAUUGUACACACCGCCCGUCAAGC
RNAcentral lists this ribosomal RNA (457 nucleotides) under uncultured Bacteroidota bacterium. RNAcentral's name for it is "bacterial SSU rRNA". It matches the Rfam family "Bacterial small subunit ribosomal RNA", at positions 944 to 1402 of the family's 1533-position model. Lineage: Bacteria; Pseudomonadati; Bacteroidota. The record is from RNAcentral.